Molecule: ribosomal RNA, 253 nt
Filed under: uncultured bacterium
Lineage: Bacteria
Description: partial 16S ribosomal RNA
Rfam family: Bacterial small subunit ribosomal RNA
Source: RNAcentral
UACGUAGGGUGCGAGCGUUAAUCGGAAUUACUGGGCGUAAAGCGUGCGCAGGCGGUUAUGUAAGACAGAAGUGAAAUCCCCGGGCUCAACCUGGGAACUGCCUUUGUGACUGCAUGACUAGAGUACGGCAGAGGGGGAUGGAAUUCCGCGUGUAGCAGUGAAAUGCGUAGAUAUGCGGAGGAACACCGAUGGCGAAGGCAAUCCCGUGGGCCUGUACUGACGUUCAUGCACGAAAGCGUGGGGAGCAAACAGG